GACGAACGCUGGCGGCGUGCCUAAUACAUGCAAGUCGAACGAAGCUGUUUUAACUGGUGCUUGCACCGACUUAAACAACUGAGUGGCGAACGGGUGAGUAACACGUGGGUAACCUGCCCCAAAGCGGGGGAUAACAUUUGGAAACAGGUGCUAAUACCGCAUAACCACAGAAACCACAUGGUUUCUGUGUCAAAGAUGGUUUCGGCUAUCACUUUGGGAUGGACCCGCGGCGUAUUAGCUAGUUGGUAAGGUAAUGGCUUACCAAGGCAAUGAUACGUAGGCGAACGGAGAGGUUGAUCGGCCACAUUGGGACUGAGAUACGGCCCAGACUCCUACGGGAGGCAGCAGUAGGGAAUUUUGCGCAAUGGACGAAAGUCUGACGCAGCAAUACCGUGUGAGGGAUGAAGCAUUUCGGUGUGUAAACCUCUGUCGUCGGUGAAUAAAGGUGUUGGGAGUGGAAAGCCCAACAUUUGAAUGUAGCCGAGAAGGAAGCACCGGCUAACUCUGUGCCAGCAGCCGCCGUAA
This 525-nucleotide ribosomal RNA is filed under the name uncultured bacterium. RNAcentral describes it as "partial 16S ribosomal RNA". It matches the Rfam family "Bacterial small subunit ribosomal RNA", at positions 28 to 523 of the family's 1533-position model. The record is from RNAcentral.